UGGGGAAUUUUGGACAAUGGGCGAAAGCCUGAUCCAGCAAUGCCGCGUGUGUGAAGAAGGCCUUCGGGUUGUAAAGCACUUUUGUCCGGAAAGAAAUCCUUGGCUCUAAUACAGUCGGGGGAUGACGGUACCGGAAGAAUAAGCACCGGCUAACUACGUGCCAGCAGCCGCGGUAAUACGUAGGGUGCAAGCGUUAAUCGGAAUUACUGGGCGUAAAGCGUGCGCAGGCGGUUUGCUAAGACCGAUGUGAAAUCCCCCGGGACUCAACCUGGGAACUGCAUUGGUGACUGGCAGGCUAGAGUAUGGCAGAGGGGGGUAGAAUUCCACGUGUAGCAGUGAAAUGCGUAGAGAUGUGGAGGAAUACCGAUGGCGAAGGCAGCCCCCUGGGCCAAUACUGACGCUCAUGCACGAAAGCGUGGGGAGCAAACAGGAUUAGAUACCCUGGUAGUCCACGCCCUAAACGAUGUCAACUAGUUGUUGGGGAUUCAUUUCCUUAGUAACGUAGCUAACGCGUGAAGUUGACCGCCUGGGGAGUACGGUCGCAAGAUUAAAACUCAAA
This 559-nucleotide ribosomal RNA is filed under the name uncultured bacterium. RNAcentral describes it as "partial 16S ribosomal RNA". It matches the Rfam family "Bacterial small subunit ribosomal RNA", at positions 355 to 905 of the family's 1533-position model. The record is from RNAcentral.